AAGAAUUUCCUGCGGUUCCUCUAGGAAAAUUCCUUUGUGCAGAUCAGGCCCGUGGAUUGGUGAGUGAAUCCUAACCACGUCUUCCCUGGCCUGUCUUCACUCUUCUCCCCAGAAUCACCACUUCUGCACUGGUGUCUGAAGGUGUAUUGAGUGAUUUUGUGGAGGGCAGAAGUAGGAAGUCUUUGGGACAAAACUGUAUUUACCUUGGGAUCUGUGAACAAGAGGAACCUCAGCAGCCAGGACAGGCAGGAGCAGUGGAAUAGCUACUAUGGCUUCUGGAAUCCUGGUUAAUGUAAAGGAGGAGGUGACCUGCCCCAUCUGCCUGGAACUCCUGACACAACCCCUGAGCCUGGACUGCGGCCACAGCUUCUGCCAAGCAUGCCUCACUGCAAACCACAAGAAGUCCAUGCUAGACAAAGGAGAGAGUAGCUGCCCUGUGUGCCGGAUCAGUUACCAGCCUGAGAACAUACGGCCUAAUCGGCAUGUAGCCAACAUAGUGGAGAAGCUCAGGGAGGUCAAGUUGAGCCCAGAGGGGCAGAAAGUUGAUCAUUGUGCACGCCAUGGAGAGAAACUUCUACUCUUCUGUCAGGAGGACGGGAAGGUCAUUUGCUGGCUUUGUGAGCGGUCUCAGGAGCACCGUGGUCACCACACGUUCCUCACAGAGGAGGUUGCCCGGGAGUACCAAGUGAAGCUCCAGGCAGCUCUGGAGAUGCUGAGGCAGAAGCAGCAGGAAGCUGAAGAGUUAGAAGCUGACAUCAGAGAAGAGAAAGCUUCCUGGAAGACUCAAAUACAGUAUGACAAAACCAACGUCUUGGCAGAUUUUGAGCAACUGAGAGACAUCCUGGACUGGGAGGAGAGCAAUGAGCUGCAAAACCUGGAGAAGGAGGAGGAAGACAUUCUGAAAAGCCUUACGAACUCUGAAACUGAGAUGGUGCAGCAGACCCAGUCCCUGAGAGAGCUCAUCUCAGAUCUGGAGCAUCGGCUGCAGGGGUCAGUGAUGGAGCUGCUUCAGGGUGUGGAUGGCGUCAUAAAAAGGACGGAGAACGUGACCUUGAAGAAGCCAGAAACUUUUCCAAAAAAUCAAAGGAGAGUGUUUCGAGCUCCUGAUCUGAAAGGAAUGCUAGAAGUGUUUAGAGAGCUGACAGAUGUCCGACGCUACUGGGAAGACUAGAUGAGAUGAAGAGAGCAGUUGUCACAUCUGGGUAAAAGUCUCAUCAUCAGGGCAAAGAACAGGUGGGAAUGUAUCCAGAGAAUCAACAUACAAUGAGCAAAAGUGAAGCUUUUCCUAGACUUGACCCUCAUCAAAUCUCCUCUGUCCCCACUCUCUUCUGAAGAAGGAAAGGUCUGAUGAAUACAUGUAAAGCUUAUUGAGCCUCAGAACUCUAACUACAGGGUUUCAAUAGCACAGAAACUCUGAGAAGAAAAAGAAUGUCAAAGUUCCUCCCUAAGGAGACUGAUUAGAUGCAAGUGUGUCCGGAAUUGGUGGGUUCUUGGUCUGACUUCAAGAAUGAAGCCGCGGACCCUCACGGUGAGUAUUACAGUUCUUGAAGACUGCGUGUCCAGAGUUUGUUCCUUCUGAUGUUCAGAUGUGUUUGGAGUUUUUUCCUUCUGGUGGGUUCGUGGUCUCGCUAGCUCAGGAGUGAAGCUGCAUACCUUCGCGGUGAGUGUUACAGCUCAUAAAAGCAGUGUGGACCCAAAGAGUGAGCAGUAACAAAAUUUAUUGCAAAGAGCAAAAGAACAAAGCUUCCACAGUGUGGAAGGUGACCCCAGUGGGUUGCCACUGCUGGCUCAGGCAGCCUGCUUUUAUUCUCUUAUCUGGCCCCACCCACAUCCUGCUGAUUGGUAGAGCCCAGUGGUCUGUUUUGACAGGGCGCUGAUUGGUGCAUUUACAAUCCCUGAGCUAGAUACAAAGCUUCUCCACGUCCCCAUCAGAUUAGUUAGAUACAGUGUGUCCAUACAAAGGUUCUCCAAGGCCCCACCAGAGCAGCUAGAUACAGAAUAUCUAUUGGUGCACUCACAAACCCUGAGCUAGACACAGGGUGCUGAUUGGUGUGUUUACCUUGAGCUAGAUACAGAGUGCCGAUUGGUGUAUUUACAAUCCCUGAGCUAGACAUAAAGGUUCUCCAAGUCCCCACCAGACUUAGGAGCCCAGCUGGCUUCACCUAGUGGAUCCCACACAGGGGCUGCAGGUGGAGUUGCCUGCCAGUCCUGCGCCAUGCACCCGCACUCCUCAGCCCUUGGGUGGUCGAUGGGACUGGGCGCCCUGGAGCAGGGGGUGGCACUCGUUGGGGAGGCUCCAGCCGCACAGGAGCCCAUGGAGGCGGGGGAAGGCUCACGCAUGGCGGGCUGCAGGUCCCGAGGCCUGCCCCGCAGGAAGGCAGCUAAGGCCCGGCAAGAAAUCGAGCGCAGUGCCGGUGGGCUGGCACUGCUGGGGGACCCAGUACACCCUCCGCAGCCGCUAGCCCGGGUGCUAAGCCCCUCGUUGCCCGGGCCGGCAGGGCAGGCCGCCUGCUCCCAGUGCGGGGCCCGCCAAGCCCACGCCCACCCGGAACUCCAGCUGGCCCGCAAGCGCCGCGCGCAGACCCGGUUCCCACUCGCGCCUCUCCCUCCACACCUCCCUGCAAGCUGAGGGAGCCGGCUCUGGCCUUGGCCAGCCCAGAAAGGGGCUCCCACAGUGCAGCGGUGGGCUGAAGGGCUCCUCAAGUGCCGCCAAAGUGGGAGCCUAGGCAGAGGAGGCACCGAGAGCGAGGGAGGGCUGUGAGGACUGCCAGCACGCUGUCACCUCUCACAAGUAGACCAUUCCUAUAGUCCACUAAUUUGUCUUUUUUGUUUUAGCCUGAUUUCUGUUAAAAGAUGUUUUCUUUUUUUAAAAAAAAUGAGAGUUUAUGGACAUAUAAAAUGAACACAUGCCGAAGAUUUAUUUAGUUAAUUAAGGAGAGAAUCAGCAAGAUGGUGUAACCAACCCAAAGGAGAAUUUAAAAACACACAUAAAUACAAGUGAUCAGAAAAACUUGCAAUGAAUUUACAAAGAGAUGAAAACAAGUCAACAUCCACAACAGAAUCAUCAAAUACAUGUCUAUUUGAGACAAUUAAUUUGCAUUUCUAUGGGCAAAAUCACUUGCAUGAUUUUCAGCUCAAUAUAAUUUCCAUAAUAAAUUAUAUUAACCUCAAAGACGAUACAAAGCUAAGAAAACUCAGAAGAGGACACUAGAUGAGUAAGCAUUUUUUUAUUUUAAAAUCUUUCAUAAUUUUUCCUCUAAGAUUCCAUCUACAGUGACUAUUUGACCAGUUUAGAAUACAAAUAAAUAUGCUCCACUGUAUUUAUUAUAACCUCUCAGCUUGGAUUUUUGAGGAAAAGAAAAACUUCAAUUGUCUGAGAUAGGUAUGAUAAAAAUGUGUGGCAGGGGGCCCUGGCUCACGUCUGUAAAUCCAGCACUUUGGGAGGCCGAGGCGGGCGGAUCAUCUGAGGUCAGGAGUUCAAGACCAGCCUGGCCAACAUGGUGAAACCCUGCCUCUACUAAAAAUAUAAAAAAAUUAGCCAGGUGUGGUGACAUGUGCCUGUAAUCCCAGCUACAUAGGAGGCUGAGGCAGGAGAAUCACUUGAACCCAGGAGGUGGAGGUCGCAGUGGGAUGAGAUAGCACCACUGCACUCCAGCCUGGGCAACAAAGCGACACUCCAUCUCAAAAAAGAAAAAAAAAAAAUCUGUGGGCAGGUAGAAGGAGUUACCAAAAGCUAAAAUGGAACAUACACCCUAGGAUUGUUUAAUUCUAAUCACAAUUGAUGUCAACAUAGACAUGUAAACAAGUGCUUUUUAAAAAGCUUCUCAUUAAUAAAAUUAGUAUAAAGAAA
This is an RNA transcript of Homo sapiens (human), 3850 nucleotides long. It is a transcript of the gene named tripartite motif containing 5, with no coding region annotated. The record is from RefSeq and is marked reviewed. The transcript is spliced from 10 exons. NCBI's taxonomy places the organism in Eukaryota, Metazoa, Chordata, Mammalia, Primates, Hominidae.